Molecule: long non-coding RNA, 464 nt
Organism: Suricata suricatta (meerkat)
Lineage: Eukaryota; Metazoa; Chordata; Mammalia; Carnivora; Herpestidae
Exons: 2
Source: RefSeq, a predicted model, not a curated record
GAGGGAGCAGCAGCGCCCAUGCCGGCCUGGCUCUCCGACAGGCCCCGUCCCGGGUGUGCUGCCCAGAGCGGUGCCAGGAAAUCCCUGUUCAGACCUGGCUUCGGUGCCGACUCAGAGACGGCCUCCCUUUGCAGAAACAGAACGCUCUCCGGGGCUUCCGUCUUGGACCCGGUGGUCCGUUCAGAGAAGGCCAUGUGGGCGCAGGCCCGGGGAGGCUCAGCGCACAGCUGUUGGCAAGACCCGAUGAGAGGGCUGCGAACUAAAUUCUUGAAUGAAUGAAUAUUGUAAUAAAAAUGAGUUCCUGUGUGGGGAGCGCCCCGGAGGGAGCAAGGCUGUGCUUGCUGGAUCUCUGUCACCAAACAACUCACCGCAUAAGAGCUAUUAUCCCGCAGAGCCCGGGGCAGAGAAAAUGGUCAAGAAACUUGAAGUUUAUUAAUAAAAAUGAUUUUGUUUGAUUCUUUUCA